GUAAGUUUAGUUUAAUUAUAAAACAUAAAAUUGUCAUUUUUAAAAUAUUUUUUAAUAACUUAUU
RNAcentral lists this transfer RNA (64 nucleotides) under Graptacme eborea. RNAcentral's name for it is "tRNA-Asp". The record is from RNAcentral. Lineage: Eukaryota; Metazoa; Mollusca; Scaphopoda; Dentaliida; Dentaliidae.